GAUGAACGCUGGCGGCGUGCCUAAUACAUGCAAGUCGAGCGAACAGACGAGGAGCUUGCUCCUCUGACGUUAGCGGCGGACGGGUGAGUAACACGUGGAUAACCUGCCUAUAAGACUGGGAUAACUUCGGGAAACCGGAGCUAAUACCGGAUAAUAUAUUGAACCGCAUGGUUCAAUAGUGAAAGACGGUUUUGCUGUCACUUAUAGAUGGAUCCGCGCCGCAUUAGCUAGUUGGUAAGGUAACGGCUUACCAAGGCAACGAUGCGUAGCCGACCUGAGAGGGUGAUCGGCCACACUGGAACGGAGACACGGUCCAGACUCCUACGGGAGGCAGCAGUAGGGAAUCUUCCGCAAUGGGCGAAAGCCUGACGGAGCAACGCCGCGUGAGUGAUGAAGGUCUUCGGAUCGUAAAACUCUGUUAUUAGGGAAGAACAAAUGUGUAAGUAACUAUGCACGUCUUGACGGUACCUAAUCAGAAAGCCACGGCUAACUACGUG
This 497-nucleotide ribosomal RNA is filed under the name uncultured bacterium. RNAcentral describes it as "partial 16S ribosomal RNA". It matches the Rfam family "Bacterial small subunit ribosomal RNA", at positions 28 to 507 of the family's 1533-position model. The record is from RNAcentral.